CUUAUGGGCGGCGAGCGGCGGACGGGUGAGUAAUGCCUGGGAAUAUGCCCUGAUGUGGGGGAUAACCAUUGGAAACGAUGGCUAAUACCGCAUAAUCUCCUUGUUCAUUACGAGCGGGAGCAAAGAGGGGGACCUUCGGGCCUCUCGCGUCAGGAUUAGCCCAGGUGAGAUUAGCUAGUUGGUGAGGUAAGAGCUCACCAAGGCGACGAUCUCUACCUGGUCUGAGAGGAUGAUCAGCCACACUGGAACUGAGACACGGUCCAGACUCCUACGGGAGGCAGCAGUGGGGAAUAUUGCACAAUGGGGGAAACCCUGAUGCAGCCAUGCCGGGUGUGUGAAGAAGGCCUUCGGGUUGUAAAGCACUUUCAGUUGUGAGGAAGGCAUUAUCGUUAAUAGCGGUAGUGUUUGACGUUAGCAACAGAAGAAGCACCGGGUAACUCCGUGCCAC
This 448-nucleotide ribosomal RNA is filed under the name uncultured bacterium. Its description in RNAcentral is "bacterial SSU rRNA". It matches the Rfam family "Bacterial small subunit ribosomal RNA", at positions 78 to 511 of the family's 1533-position model. The record is from RNAcentral.